UUAAAACAACACCAGUUAAUCCGUUUUAAAACUUGAUUUCCACAGAGUCACAAAUUUCGCAAGAAGAUUGGAGCUGACACCAUUCUCACCCCUGCAUAUGAAUUUCCUGACGUGUAUAAAAAGUAUCCUAUUUCCCAGUACCUAGGUUUUGAUAACGAAAACAGUGCUGUCCGUCUAUUUAUGGUUGGAAUCCUGGAUUAUAAAGGUUACGUACACUCUCUUCCCGUAAUAGAUCUGAUGAAAAUUCUAAUUUAUUUCUUAGAGAAUGACUUAAAGAUGAUGCAUGAAA
This is a non-coding RNA of Parasteatoda tepidariorum (common house spider), 289 nucleotides long. The record is from RefSeq and is a predicted model, not a curated record. NCBI's taxonomy places the organism in Eukaryota, Metazoa, Arthropoda, Arachnida, Araneae, Theridiidae.